AGCCAUGGAGAUUUAAGAAUUCAGUGCUGUGGCUUGCUUCUCUUGGUGUACAAGUUAUCCUCUGCAACCUGGGUCUUCAACUUCUUAGUAGUUCUCAACUACGUCAGUUGUCUCAUUAUUUUAGGACAUUAUCCUACUUGAAAUAUAGUCAUUCUCACAUCAUUCCUGUCCUUGUUAUCCAUUGAAAACUGAGCUUUCUCUUCAAUUUGGAUCGAAUUCAAAGAUUCAGAAGCCCUAAUGGAGUCUGGUUGGAAGCAAAUGUUUUUUUAAUGGACUUGCAUCUCCUCACCUUGAUCAGGACUAAAGGACGGAGGCCGCCCCACCCCCUUCCCUUUCCUCCAAACCCCUAACUCCCUCCAGACACCCAGGGAAUACCCUCUGCCCCACAGGAUUGAAGACUGCUUGGCAGCCCUCCCAAUCCCACACCUCCUGUUUGCCAGGGGAAAGAACCUAAAGACUUCGUGUGAUUGGGAGGGGUGGCAGACAGGAAGAAAAGAACAUGUCCAGGCCCCUGGUCUCCAUAGAGAAUGGUGCUUUGUCCAAGAAAACGUAUGAGUUUCUGAUUCUCCGGGAGCAGUUCAAUGGUGAGGUUGAUGGGAAGACUUCCUUCCCAAAGAAAAUAGAUCCUCCAUGCAGGAUCUAAGAGAGUGACUGGGUGUG
RNAcentral lists this small RNA (660 nucleotides) under Pongo abelii (Sumatran orangutan). RNAcentral's name for it is "processed transcript". Lineage: Eukaryota; Metazoa; Chordata; Mammalia; Primates; Hominidae. The record is from RNAcentral.